GUGGGUAUAGCUCAGUGGUAGAGUGCAUGCUUAGCAUGCAUGAGGUCCUGGGUUCAAUCCCCUGUACCUCCA
This 72-nucleotide transfer RNA is filed under the name Camelus bactrianus (Bactrian camel). It matches the Rfam family "tRNA". Rfam says of the family: Transfer RNA (tRNA) molecules are approximately 80 nucleotides in length. Their secondary structure includes four short double-helical elements and three loops (D, anti-codon, and T loops). Further hydrogen bonds mediate the characteristic L-shaped molecular structure. tRNAs have two regions of fundamental functional importance: the anti-codon, which is responsible for specific mRNA codon recognition, and the 3' end, to which the tRNAs corresponding amino acid is attached (by aminoacyl-tRNA synthetases). tRNAs cope with the degeneracy of the genetic code in two manners: having more than one tRNA (with a specific anti-codon) for a particular amino acid; and 'wobble' base-pairing, i.e. permitting non-standard base-pairing at the 3rd anti-codon position. The record is from Rfam by way of RNAcentral. Lineage: Eukaryota; Metazoa; Chordata; Mammalia; Artiodactyla; Camelidae. RNAcentral also lists the same sequence under 3 other names.